This 253-nucleotide ribosomal RNA is filed under the name uncultured bacterium. RNAcentral's name for it is "partial 16S ribosomal RNA". It matches the Rfam family "Bacterial small subunit ribosomal RNA", at positions 524 to 776 of the family's 1533-position model. The record is from RNAcentral.
UACGUAGGGUGCGAGCGUUGUCCGGAAUUAUUGGGCGUAAAGAGCUCGUAGGCGGUGUGUCGCGUCGGCCGUGAAAACCCGUGGCUCAACUGCGGGCUUGCGGUCGAUACGGGCGGGCUAGAGUUCGGUAGGGGAGACUGGAAUUCCUGGUGUAGCGGUGAAAUGCGCAGAUAUCAGGAGGAACACCGGUGGCGAAGGCGGGUCUCUGGGCCGAUACUGACGCUGAGGAGCGAAAGCGUGGGGAGCGAACAGG